This 484-nucleotide ribosomal RNA is filed under the name uncultured bacterium. RNAcentral's name for it is "partial 16S ribosomal RNA". It matches the Rfam family "Bacterial small subunit ribosomal RNA", at positions 29 to 507 of the family's 1533-position model. The record is from RNAcentral.
AGUGAACGCUGGCGGCAGGCCUAACACAUGCCAGUCGAGCGGCAGCGCGGGGGCAACCCUGGCGGCGAGCGGCGGACGGGUGAGGAAUUCGUCGGAAUCUGCCUUUUUGUGGGGGAUAACGUAGGGAAACUUACGCUAAUACCGCAUACGUCCUACGGGAGAAAGUGGGGGACCGCAAGGCCUCACGCAGAAAGAUGAGCCGACGACCGAUUAGCUAGUUGGUGGGGUAAAGGUCCACCAAGGCGACGAUCGGUAGCUGGUCUGAGAGGAUGAUCAGCCACACUGGGACUGAGACACGGCCCAGACUCCUACGGGAGGCAGCAGUGGGGAAUAUUGGACAAUGGGCGCAAGCCUGAUCCAGCCAUGCCGCGUGUGUGAAGAAGGCCUUCGGGUUGUAAAGCACUUUUGUCCGGAAAGAAAUCCCUGGAGCUAAUACCUUCGGGGGAUGACGGUACCGGAAGAAUAAGCACCGGCUAACUUCGUG